This 878-nucleotide long non-coding RNA is filed under the name Hordeum vulgare. RNAcentral's name for it is "long non-coding RNA (HVUL_LNC008123)". The record is from RNAcentral. Lineage: Eukaryota; Viridiplantae; Streptophyta; Magnoliopsida; Poales; Poaceae.
UUUUCAAAGCGAUCUUCGAUGCAUUUCCACUCACUGUUAGAAAGUUUUCGGUGAUGAAUGGGUAUGCCUAAAUAUCUAAACGGUAGUCUUCCCAAUUCACAACCGAACAAAAAUAAUAAUUAUAUGCACUACAUUAUGGAAAGUAAGUACUAUUCAUGCAUUGUAGAUUCUUAGAUUUCGGCUAGACACAUAUAAAGCUAAAUCGAAGCAGAUGCAUGUGUGUUGUGUUCAAGUUUUUCUUGUUUUCGAAACAGGAAGAGAAGACUUUAAUUACUUAAUUUGGAGUUGAAGGAUAUAUAGCUAGCUAACGCAUCCACCUGCCUUCGUACUAGCCAAAUAUUCCGCCUUCACACAUUCUGACUAGCAUCAGUACUCAGAAAGCGUCUCGUACUGCUGUAACUGGUGAGGAGUGUGUGUGCCCACCUGGGUUUAGCCACACCUCUUCCAUUACUAAACCGCAUAGUCGGUGGAUAGGUAGUGCCUUCACCAACCUUCCGUUCAAUGCUUGUGCGCCCUUAUAAUUCACAUUGCCUGCGUAACUAGCCAAACAUACAACCUUCUGCUUUAGCCCUUUGACUCUAGCUAGCUACCUUUUACCAAGACAGCAACACUAGAACCACACUCGCCGACUUCUGAUUUGCGGGAAUGGAGAUGUUUGGUAGCAAAUAACGUAUACAAAAUAUUUAGGUAGUUAGGAGUUUGACGCAUGUACUGUGUUGGGAACAAGACGAAUGGGGAAACACAUCCUCUGUUGAUGCUUACAUCACAGUUGCUACACCUAUUUUUUGUAGUGCGAGCAGUUGUUUAGAACAAGGCGCAAUCCAUUGUCCAGUCUCAGUUGGAGCAAACUCAACAAUGAUAUUAUGCCCGUAGGUCUC